GCUACGAGCAUCGCGUUUGCUUGAUCGUGUGUUUUUGUGUUUGCAGUUAUGAAGUGGGUCGCAGUUAGCGUGCACAGAAGUGCCUGAAGAUACCUUGUGUCAUGCUGCAAACUCGCCGUAUGCGUGGCGCGCCAGGCAAAUGUGGCCCAACGAUUUUAUGCCGUGGAGUGCGACCCCUUUGUUCUCGUGGAAAGUUGGGUGGACGUCGCAAAGAAAUAUUGUGUGUUGGGCGCGCCUCAGCUCGUCCACUACGCAGAGGCAUGUAUGCGGGAAGUAACAUCGUCGACGCAGCACCGGCAACUUGGAGAGCGCUUCGCGACCGCGUCGUACCAUUCAAAAGUGGCGAGGCUGUGACCCAUAACAGUGCCCACAUAAUGGAGGAGCCACCAGACCUCUUGGCUAUGCCUGCCGUAGUGCAACGUGUAAUCUGGAUGGUCGGGUCAGGUACACCUAGGAAAUGUUUUAUACAUUGGCAACGAUAACUGGGGCCUGCUCCAGUGCCAUGGCCGGGACUCCCUGUUCUGCAAAGAACUGGCAUAACUGAUGUGGGGAGC
Long non-coding RNA from Dermacentor silvarum, 554 nucleotides. RefSeq lists it as uncharacterized. The transcript has 3 exons. The record is from RefSeq and is a predicted model, not a curated record. NCBI's taxonomy places the organism in Eukaryota, Metazoa, Arthropoda, Arachnida, Ixodida, Ixodidae.